ACCUUAGUUUUCAGAUUUAGCAGCCUAAUUUUUAUCAGAUUAUACCAUAAAAUCAAAAGUAGACUUGUAGAUCUUUUUAAAACAAGGCAUGAAAUAUUAAUUUAAAUAAUAUAAAUUAAACAAAUAGCCUAAAUAACAACUACACAAAGUUAAAGUCAUAAUAACUUUUUAUAAAGGUAUCUUGAAUUUCAACUGGAGGUAGUUUUGAUAAAUAUUAGUAUUCUGAACAUUAAAAUAGGUAGACUUAACAUAAAUUUGUUCUGAAAACAUAUUUAGAAAUUGGUUUUAAAAAAUGAGGUUAGGAUUGGGGUGAUAACUAGUUGAGGAUUAGAUAUGAUAUUCAUUGUGUUUAUCCAUGUUGUAAUUUCUCUUUUACAGGUUCAUCCAAAAAAAAGGGAAGAUCUGAUUUUUACCAGUAAUAAGACUACAGCAUACUAAAUGACACAAGAUGUUCUUUCUCUAUUACCUCUUACAUUUGACAUAAAAGUAGGAAAAGGUUUAACAGUCUAUGCCUACAACAUGGAUCUCCAGGACUAAAAGUGCACAAAAUGGCAAUCAGUAUAUCACAAGUGUUAUAACACAUGCAUCUAAUCUGCUUCAGUGGCGAGAACUGGGUGAAUCCUCUCAAACAUUAAUCAGGAACUAGGCAUACCUAAUGAGCGUCAAGCUGAUACAGUAGAUGUACAUAAGAAUUUUUACACAAGGAAGUGAAAAGUGAUGUAAAAGGCAACUAAUACUUCCAUCUACCAUAGUUAAACAAGAAUCUGCAAAUGGUGAUAAUUGCAAUAAUCUUGAUAUAUUAAUGUUUGGCUUUAUAAUUAUAUGCAAUUGUUUCAUAAAUAAAUUAUUUCUC
Molecule: long non-coding RNA, 853 nt
Organism: Physella acuta
Lineage: Eukaryota; Metazoa; Mollusca; Gastropoda; Physidae
Source: RefSeq, a predicted model, not a curated record